GAUGAACGCUGGCUACAGGCUUAACACAUGCAAGUCGAGGGGAAACGACGGGGAAGCUUGCUUCCCCGGGCGUCGACCGGCGCACGGGUGAGUAACGCGUAUCCAACCUGCCUCUGACUGAGGGAUAACCCGUCGAAAGUCGGCCUAAUACCUCAUGGCAUCGUCUGCGGGCAUCCAACGACGAUUAAAGAUUUCAUCGGUCAGGGAUGGGGAUGCGUCUGAUUAGCUUGUUGGCGGGGUAACGGCCCACCAAGGCUACGAUCAGUAGGGGUUCUGAGAGGAAGGUCCCCCACAUUGGAACUGAGACACGGUCCAAACUCCUACGGGAGGCAGCAGUGAGGAAUAUUGGUCAAGGGGCGGGAGCCUGAACCAGCCAAGUAGCGUGCAGGAUGACGGCCCUAUGGGUUGUAAACUGCUUUUAUGCGGGGAUAAAGUGAGGGACGUGUCUUUCAUUGCAGGUACCGCAUGAAUAAGGACCGGCUAAUUCCGUG
Molecule: ribosomal RNA, 491 nt
Filed under: uncultured bacterium
Lineage: Bacteria
Description: partial 16S ribosomal RNA
Rfam family: Bacterial small subunit ribosomal RNA
Source: RNAcentral